AGUGAACGCUGGCGGUAGGCCUAAUACAUGCAAGUCGAACGGACGCACAGUAAGAGUUCGUCUCUAAGGUUGGCGGCUGGCGGACGGGUGAGACAUACAUAGGAAUCUUCUUUUACGUGGGGGACUACGUAGGACCACAUCUGCUACCACAGCAUAUUUUCUACGGCUGAAAGCAAGAGUUCAUCGCACUCUUCGUGUCUGUAUGAGAUGGUGCCGGAUUAGCUAGUUGGCGGGGUAAAGGCACACCAAGGCGACGAUCCGUAGCUGGUCUGAGAGGAUGAUCAGCCACACUGGAACUGAGACACGGUCCAGACUCCUACGGGAGGCAGCAGUAGGGAAUAUUGGACAAUGGGCGCAAGCCUGACCCAGCCAUGCCGCGUGGGUGAAGAAGGCCUUCGGGUUGUAAAGCUCUGUUGUUGGGAAAGAAAAGCAGCAGGUUAAUACCCCGCUGUUCUGACGGUACCCAAAGAAUAAGCACCGGCUAACUUCGUG
RNAcentral lists this ribosomal RNA (492 nucleotides) under uncultured bacterium. RNAcentral describes it as "partial 16S ribosomal RNA". It matches the Rfam family "Bacterial small subunit ribosomal RNA", at positions 29 to 507 of the family's 1533-position model. The record is from RNAcentral.